RNAcentral lists this unclassified non-coding RNA (330 nucleotides) under soil metagenome. RNAcentral's name for it is "partial contains 5.8S ribosomal RNA, internal transcribed spacer 2, and large subunit ribosomal RNA". The stretch from base 1 to 120 matches the Rfam family "5.8S ribosomal RNA", at positions 35 to 154 of the family's 154-position model. The record is from RNAcentral.
GAUGAAGAACGCAGCGAAAUGCGAUAAGUAAUGUGAAUUGCAGAAUUCAGUGAAUCAUCGAAUCUUUGAACGCUCAUUGCGCCCCCUGGUAUUCCGGGGGGCAUGCCUGUUCGAGCGUCAUUUCACCACUCAAGCCUCGCUUGGUAUUGGGCAACGCGGUCCGCCGCGUGCCUCAAAUCGACCGGCUGGGUCUUCUGUCCCCUAAGCGUUGUGGAAACUUUCGCUAAAGGGUGUUCGGGAGGCUACGCCGUAAAACAACCCCAUUUCUAAGGUUGACCUCGGAUCAGGUAGGGAUACCCGCUGAACUUAAGCAUAUCAAUAAGCGGAGGA